CUGAAUAUCUUGUUCCCAGGUAAGGAGUGUGGAUGUGAAGGAAGCACUGCGUCUUCAGCAGGAAAAUAAGUUUGUAAUUCUUGAUGUACGACCUGAAGCAGAAUACAAGGAGGCUCAUCCGCCGGGGGCAAUAAACGUGCAAAUAUAUAGGCUCAUCAAGGAAUGGACGGCAUGGGACAUUGCGAGGCGAGCUGCAUUCGCCUUUUCGGCAUCUUCGCGGGCACGGAGGAGAACCCGGACUUCAUAAACGAGUAUAGCCUUGUCGCGCUAUCUUGCUUUCGACGGUGUUCCCUGUGUUGUGAAAGAUGUGAGACUGAUCUUCUUAACCUCCUGUUUGCCACAGCUGUGGAAUCGAAAAUCGGUAAAGAUGCCAAGAUAAUCGUGGCUUGCUCAGCCGGUGGCACGAUGAACCAUCUCAAAAUCUUCCCGAAGGACAACAAUCAAGAUCACUUAUUGCUGCAUACCUGCUGGUGCUCAACGGCUACACCAAUGUCUACUAUUUAGAAGGGGCUUGUAUACAUGGUUCAAGGAGGGACUGCCGGCAGCUUCUGAAAAGUGAAAACUCGAGCAUCAUACCGUCUCUUUUUUGAUCAUUCUCAUUUAGGAAAAUCACAUGGGAUAUGGCGGUCAAUGUCGCCUGUCGCCAGUCGUACGAUGAGUACUUUGAUGACCAUGUAAACCAGACAGCUUGAUCAUUGAUAUCUUGCAGGAGUAAGACUACAAGAAUGCAUCUC
This is a long non-coding RNA of Eucalyptus grandis, 734 nucleotides long. RefSeq lists it as uncharacterized. Lineage: Eukaryota; Viridiplantae; Streptophyta; Magnoliopsida; Myrtales; Myrtaceae. The record is from RefSeq and is a predicted model, not a curated record. The transcript has 3 exons.